This 817-nucleotide long non-coding RNA is filed under the name Nicotiana tabacum (common tobacco). RNAcentral's name for it is "long non-coding RNA (NTAB_LNC008917)". Lineage: Eukaryota; Viridiplantae; Streptophyta; Magnoliopsida; Solanales; Solanaceae. The record is from RNAcentral.
CGUGAAUUCAGGGAAAAUAGCCGAGGGGAGGAAAUCUUUUUCCAACUGAAAAAUGCCAGCUGCCACUUCUAGAAGCAGACUAUCUGCUUAGGUUUGGGCCAAAUGCUAUGACCGAAAUGGCCCAAGACCAAGCCCAGAUCCGACCUUAAAGAAAAUAGCCCACAAAGAGAAAUGAAACAAUCCAUGCCAUAUUUGAAUUUCAAUUAUAAAAGACUUCACUAAACACUGACUUUUAAUUAAACUAAAUCUACCUAUAAACUAUUCUAAAUGAUCAUGCAAACAAAAUUUAACACUUAGUUAAUCAAUCAAAGAAAAACACAACCAAUCCAGAAAAUAGGAAAGAAUGAGUAGGAAUAUCGAUUGAACCUUAAGAAACAAAGAUUGAAGAACAUGGCAAAUAAAACAGUGGCGAAAUUCUGGACGGACUCCCGUUAAUAUUUCAAAAUAGAUAAAAACUGACCCAAAAUGAUUGCUCUUGUCAAGAGCAAUCGAUUUGGGUGAGCUUCAACCCAAAAAGAACGCAAAUAGUGCAGAAAUCAACAAAGUGCAAAGCUGAUUUUUUUAAUAUUUAUUUUCAGAUUUGAAAUUGAGGGAAAUGGGUGAGGAUUUUUGGGAAAAUUGAUAAAGGGGUAUGAUUUAGGAGGGUCUAGGGGUUGUGUGGUAAAAAUUCGGGGGUGAUUGGAGUAGCGCCGCAGGUGUGGAAUUUUUGGGCGGCUAGAGUUCCGAGGGAGUUUGAGAGAGAGAGAUGAGGGAUUUGGGGGCGGCUAGGGUUUGGGUGAGUGAAAGAGAAAGAGAGGGAAAUGAGAGAGGUCUGAAG